AGGAACUCGCCGCCUCGCCUGCUCCGCAUGUGGCAACGCUGCUGGCUAAUCACUAGUUUUUUUUUUAAUUUUUAAACUCCAUUCUUCUUCCAAAGCAGUGCCUAAAGUUUAACCAAAAAGACUAGACUAAUAUAUUAAUAUAUACGAUUGUUCUGACAGUAUUUGUAUAUUAAGAGAUGAGAGAGAAAACACACUACCCUCCCAGAUCUGCCGCCCCGGGAGCCUGCUGCCGUUCCUGCCCUCUGCAGAGCCGAUCCCACCCAGCCGCUCGGAGACGGCGAGGCAGAGCCGGAAAACAGGAAAACAGUUCCGUCUUUUUGGUCUAACCACUUAGUGACUCUUUUGUAAUUAACCCUGCCGGCUUCAUCCCCUGCAUCCCGAAGGAGGAGACGACCCUGUCCCCGCAGCGUGCCGCAGCUGACAUGCUGGCAGAACGGAGGAGGACAUCGCAGGCUCCCCGCCACUCGGCGCCAGACAGCCACUUCACACCGGCCCUGGAGCUGUUGCCUGGACCCCUUCCACCCGCCCUCAGCAUGGCGAGGAGGGGGCUCUGUGCCCCAGCUCCUGAGCUGUCCCAGCUCCCUGGCUUGGCCUCCCGGCACAUCCCCACCACCACGCCGUGGAGCCGAUGCCCCGACCACAUCUUUUUCCAGUCCCACCAAAGAAGUCCCCUUGCCGCUGGGCGAGUUCCUUAGCUGGGUCUCCGACAUCAGCAAGUCGUGGAUGGGCUCGAGGGGAGCUUGGGACGCGGCAGCUCUUCGGCCGUGCUCACCGGCACAGUGUUGCUGGAUGUCCAUCCCAACUCCCCUCACCGCUGCCACGGAGCCCGUACCCCCGCCCUGGGGCAAGUGGGACCGCACUUGAGGACACUGGGACAUGCUCCCUCUCCCUUUGCACUUGCCAGAGUCCCUGGGCAGAGACCGGGGGCCGCGCUGCCCGGGUGCGGGAGCUGCCCUGCAGCACCGGAGCCCCCCGGCCGGCAGCGGGGUGCCCCGGCCCAUCUGCUGCCCCUGGCCCCUGGCAGCACGCAGCCCCCGUCCCCCCACCACACUCCACCGGGCCCCCAGGCAGGGGCUGAAGCAAUAAGUGACGCAGUGGUGGGGCUGUGCCAGCUCGGGCCGUCGGGGCCGUAGCCCCCCGCGUUCAGCCUGGCUGACCCCGGCCCCCCGAGAGGCACCCACGCGGUCGCCUGUCCCUCUCCCCUCGCCCCAUGCCAGCGUGCUCGAGGUGCACCCCCUCCUCCCCAGGGACGGCCUCCCGGCACGGUGCUACGGCUCACCUGCGGAUCUCCACAGCACCUCUCCUCCUUCCCGCCUGCUCUCAUUUGCCACGUGUAAAUCGAGUCAUGUUAUUCCUCAGCAUUCGUUACUAUUAUUCUCAUUAUCCAGUUUUGCUUUUGCAUGACAUGCUAAUGUGGGCGACUCUGUACCAUAGCCCAGCCUGAGCCAGGGCUCCCGCUCCCUCGGGGCCCUGCGCUCCCCUGAUUUCCCAAUCAUUUCUCAUCAGGGCAGCCGGGGCUGAUCGAUAAUCCAAAAACAUCUCUUUUUGGGGGCAAAAACACUAAAACCUGACUUGUAUAUACCGUGAAGUGUUUGUAAAACAUGCAGUAUGGACCCAUGGCUCUCCCUAGUGAGGUCAGUAAAAGAGAUCCUAUGAAACCAGCCGGCAGCUCCGCGUGGUCUGUUCGCCCUCGCUGCUCCCCAUGGGCAGCCGUGCCUCAGCCUCGUCACUGCGGGUGCA
RNAcentral lists this long non-coding RNA (1740 nucleotides) under Accipiter nisus (Eurasian sparrowhawk). RNAcentral's name for it is "lncRNA (ENSANIG00000003291.1)". Lineage: Eukaryota; Metazoa; Chordata; Aves; Accipitriformes; Accipitridae. The record is from RNAcentral.